Molecule: unclassified non-coding RNA, 247 nt
Filed under: Hevea brasiliensis (rubber tree)
Lineage: Eukaryota; Viridiplantae; Streptophyta; Magnoliopsida; Malpighiales; Euphorbiaceae
Source: RNAcentral
UGCCUCGUCAUCUUGAUUUUAUGAUUCUUGAUUGCUGAACAAUAGUAAUUUAACCAUAAAACAUUGCCAUAUACUUCAAUUGAAUUGAAUCUGCUAUUUAGUGAUUCAGGCUACUGGCUUGCAUUUUAGGUAACCAAGAAAUUGAAUAACAAAAAUGAUUUGAUUCAUCUUGCUACGAAGGCAUUGUUAUAGACGUCUGAUUCAUGAGCGAAAUUUGGAAUGCAGGGUUACAAGAAAGACGCAAAGG